GAAUACCCCGCUGAACUUAAGCAUAUCAUAGGGGCGGCGAGAGAGAAA
This 48-nucleotide ribosomal RNA is filed under the name Emericellopsis pallida. RNAcentral describes it as "partial 28S ribosomal RNA". Lineage: Eukaryota; Fungi; Ascomycota; Sordariomycetes; Hypocreales; Bionectriaceae. The record is from RNAcentral.